GGUUUUGUAGUGUAGUGGUUAUCACAGUGGAUUUUGAUUGCGUUCAAAAUUUCCAUUAACCCCGGUUCGAAUCCGGGCAAGACCU
Non-coding RNA from Serendipita sp. 401, 85 nucleotides. Lineage: Eukaryota; Fungi; Basidiomycota; Agaricomycetes; Sebacinales; Serendipitaceae. The record is from the annotation of a GenBank genome assembly.